Molecule: ribosomal RNA, 436 nt
Filed under: uncultured bacterium
Lineage: Bacteria
Description: bacterial SSU rRNA
Rfam family: Bacterial small subunit ribosomal RNA
Source: RNAcentral
UACGGAAGGCAGCAGUGGGGAAUAUUGGACAAUGGGCGAAAGCCUGAUCCAGCCAUGCCGCAUGAGUGAAGAAGGCCUUCGGGUUGUAAAGCUCUUUUAGUGAGAAAGAUAAUGACGGUACUCACAGAAGAAGUCCUGGCUAACUCCGUGCCAGCAGCCGCGGUAAUACGGAGAGGGCUAGCGUUAUUCGGAAUUAUUGGGCGUAAAGAGCGCGUAGGCUGAUUAGUAAGUUAAAAGUGAAAUCCCAAAGCUUAACUUUGGAAUUGCUUUUUAAAAACUGCUAGUCUAGAGAUUGAAAGAGGAUAGAGGAAUUCCUAGUGUAGAGGUGAAAUUCGUAAAUAUUAGGAGGAACACCAGUGGCGAAAGGCGUCUAUCUGGUUCAAAUCUGACGCUGAGGCGCGAAAGGGCGUGGGGAGCAAAACAGGGAUUAGAUACC